UUAAAUUGAAGAGUUUGAUCAUGGCUCAGAUUGAACGCUGGCGGCAGGCCUAACACAUGCAAGUCGAACGGUAACAGGAAGCAGCUUGCUGCUUCGCUGACGAGUGGCGGACGGGUGAGUAAUGUCUGGGAAACUGCCUGAUGGAGGGGGAUAACUACUGGAAACGGUGGCUAAUACCGCAUAACGUCGCAAGACCAAAGAGGGGGACCUUCGGGCCUCUUGCCAUCAGAUGUGCCCAGAUGGGAUUAGCUUGUUGGUGAGGUAACGGCUCACCAAGGCGACGAUCCCUAGCUGGUCUGAGAGGAUGACCAGCCACACUGGAACUGAGACACGGUCCAGACUCCUACGGGAGGCAGCAGUGGGGAAUAUUGCACAAUGGGCGCAAGCCUGAUGCAGCCAUGCCGCGUGUAUGAAGAAGGCCUUCGGGUUGUAAAGUACUUUCAGCGGGGAGGAAGGUGUUGCGGUUAAUAACCGCAGCAAUUGACGUUACCCGCAGAAGAAGCACCGGCUAACUCCGUGCCAGCAGCCGCGGUAAUACGGAGGGUGCAAGCGUUAAUCGGAAUUACUGGGCGUAAAGCGCACGCAGGCGGUCUGUCAAGUCGGAUGUGAAAUCCCCGGGCUCAACCUGGGAACUGCAUUCGAAACUGGCAGGCUUGAGUCUUGUAGAGGGGGGUAGAAUUCCAGGUGUAGCGGUGAAAUGCGUAGAGAUCUGGAGGAAUACCGGUGGCGAAGGCGGCCCCCUGGACAAAGACUGACGCUCAGGUGCGAAAGCGUGGGGAGCAAACAGGAUUAGAUACCCUGGUAGUCCACGCCGUAAACGAUGUCUACUUGGAGGUUGUGCCCUUGAGGUGUGGCUUCCGGAGCUAACGCGUUAAGUAGACCGCCUGGGGAGUACGGCCGCAAGGUUAAAACUCAAAUGAAUUGACGGGGGCCCGCACAAGCGGUGGAGCAUGUGGUUUAAUUCGAUGCAACGCGAAGAACCUUACCUGGUCUUGACAUCCACAGAAGAAUCCAGAGAUGGAUUUGUGCCUUCGGGAACUGUGAGACAGGUGCUGCAUGGCUGUCGUCAGCUCGUGUUGUGAAAUGUUGGGUUAAGUCCCGCAACGAGCGCAACCCUUAUCCUUUGUUGCCAGCGGUCCGGCCGGGAACUCAAAGGAGACUGCCAGUGAUAAACUGGAGGAAGGUGGGGAUGACGUCAAGUCAUCAUGGCCCUUACGACCAGGGCUACACACGUGCUACAAUGGCGCAUACAAAGAGAAGCGACCUCGCGAGAGCAAGCGGACCUCAUAAAGUGCGUCGUAGUCCGGAUUGGAGUCUGCAACUCGACUCCAUGAAGUCGGAAUCGCUAGUAAUCGUGGAUCAGAAUGCCACGGUGAAUACGUUCCCGGGCCUUGUACACACCGCCCGUCACACCAUGGGAGUGGGUUGCAAAAGAAGUAGGUAGCUUAACCUUCGGGAGGGCGCUUACCACUUUGUGAUUCAUGACUGGGGUGAAGUCGUAACAAGGUAACCGUAGGGGAACCUGCGGUUGGAUCACCUCCUUACCUUAAAGAAGC
Molecule: ribosomal RNA, 1556 nt
Filed under: Salmonella enterica subsp. enterica serovar Infantis
Lineage: Bacteria; Pseudomonadati; Pseudomonadota; Gammaproteobacteria; Enterobacterales; Enterobacteriaceae
Description: bacterial SSU rRNA
Rfam family: Bacterial small subunit ribosomal RNA
Source: RNAcentral